CCUACGGGUGGCAGCAGUGAGGAAUAUUGGUCAAUGGGCGCGAGCCUGAACCAGCCAAGUCGCGUGAAGGAUGACUGCCCUACGGGUUGUAAACUUCUUUUAUAAGGGAGUAAAAUGAGGCACGUGUACCGUUUUGACUGUACUUUAUGAAUAAGGAUCGGCUAACUCCGUGCCAGCAGCCGCGGUAAUACGGAGGAUGCGAGCGUUAUCCGGAUUUAUUGGGUUUAAAGGGAGCGUAGGUGGGUUGUUAAGUCAGUUGUGAAAGUUUGCGGCUCAACCGUAAAAGUGCAAUUGAUACUGGCAGUCUAGAGUACAGAUGAGGUAGGCGGAAUACAUGGAGUAGCGGUGAAAUGCAUAGAUAUAACUAAGAACACCGAUAGCGAAGGCAGCUUACUAAACUGACACUGACACUGAUGCUCGAGAGUGUGGGUAGCAAACAGGAUUAGAUACCCCAGUAGUC
Molecule: ribosomal RNA, 460 nt
Filed under: uncultured bacterium
Lineage: Bacteria
Description: partial 16S ribosomal RNA
Rfam family: Bacterial small subunit ribosomal RNA
Source: RNAcentral